RNAcentral lists this non-coding RNA (31 nucleotides) under Mus musculus (house mouse). Lineage: Eukaryota; Metazoa; Chordata; Mammalia; Rodentia; Muridae. The record is from RNAcentral.
CAGAACACUUUUGGUUUCAUGUUUGUCAAAC